Molecule: ribosomal RNA, 490 nt
Filed under: uncultured bacterium
Lineage: Bacteria
Description: bacterial SSU rRNA
Rfam family: Bacterial small subunit ribosomal RNA
Source: RNAcentral
GACGAACGGCUGGCGGCGUGGAUUAGGCAUGCAAGUCGAACGGUAGGAUACCUUCGGGUAUCUGAGAGUGGCGAACGGGUGAGUAACACGUAGGUGAUCUACCCUCAAGAUUGGGACAACCCAGGGAAACUUGGGCUAAUACCGGAUGAAAGCAGCAGUGAUGUUGUUUGAAAGGUGGCGUAAGCUGCCGUUUGGGGAUGAGCCUGCGCUCUAUUAGUUAGUUGGCGGGGUAAAGGCCCACCAAGGCGAUGAUAGAUAGGCGGCCUUAACGGGGUGGUCGCCCACACUGGGAUUGAGAUACGGCCCAGACUCCUACGGGAGGCAGCAGUCGAGAAUAGUCUACAAUGGCCGAAAGGCUGAUAGUGCGACGCCGCGUGAACGAAGAAGCCCUUCGGGGUGUAAAGUUCUUUUAUAUGUGAGCAGUGCUUUCUAUGUGAACAGCAUGGGGAGAGAGAUAUUAGCAUAUGAAUAAGCAACGGCUAACUCCGUG